RNAcentral lists this long non-coding RNA (567 nucleotides) under Bos taurus (domestic cattle). Its description in RNAcentral is "long non-coding RNA NONBTAT022367". The record is from RNAcentral. Lineage: Eukaryota; Metazoa; Chordata; Mammalia; Artiodactyla; Bovidae.
UCAGUGCAAGUAUACUUCAUGGUAAAAGAUUGUAGUUGAAUAUAUUCAAUGAAUAGUUAUGUUGCUUUGAAAAAUGUGAGUAUUCGCUGGGACCUUACUAUUGACUUUCAAAAUAGUACCAUUUAUAAAAACUGUUUUAAAACAAUUAUUUUAAUUCAUAUGGUUAUAUUAUUAAAAUGAUAUACCUGAUUUCUAUGUCUCAUUAAAAACCUCUGAAAAAUAUUAUUUUGGGAGUGGUUUGUUAGAUUUUGUAAGUUAAAUAGUUCACUGAGUGUUAUUAUUGCAUCCAUUCGACCUGAAUCAAAAUGAUGCUUCCUGUGGUUAAAGACUAUGUUUUAUACCUUUCAAUAGCUAUUUUCAAGUAUUAUUGAAAUACAAGAAAACAUAAAUGUUUUCCUAAUUGCUGGAGUUGUUUGUAUAUGUAUAGGCUGCAACAUUUAACUAUGGAACUAUUACUAAAUCUACACCAUGUCUAGUUUUGUUCAAUUGUCGCUAGUAGAAUAUAUUUCUCUUUAAUUAUAUAAACUGUAUGAAUAACCUCCCAGUUUAGAGCAACACUAGCAUUUU